This 85-nucleotide transfer RNA is filed under the name Felis catus (domestic cat). It matches the Rfam family "tRNA". Rfam says of the family: Transfer RNA (tRNA) molecules are approximately 80 nucleotides in length. Their secondary structure includes four short double-helical elements and three loops (D, anti-codon, and T loops). The record is from Rfam by way of RNAcentral. Lineage: Eukaryota; Metazoa; Chordata; Mammalia; Carnivora; Felidae.
GCCUGGAUAGCUCAGUUGGUUGAGCGUCUGACUUCGGCUCAGGUCACGAUCUCGCGGUCCGUGAGUUCGAGCCCCACGUCAGGCU